This 738-nucleotide ribosomal RNA is filed under the name uncultured Chloroflexota bacterium. Its description in RNAcentral is "bacterial SSU rRNA". It matches the Rfam family "Bacterial small subunit ribosomal RNA", at positions 574 to 1325 of the family's 1533-position model. The record is from RNAcentral. Lineage: Bacteria; Bacillati; Chloroflexota.
GGCGGUUUCGUAAGUUGGACGUGAAAGCUCCUGGCUCAACUAGGAGAGGCCGUUCAAUACUGCGGAACUUGAGGGCAGCAGAGGGAGGUGGAAUUCCCGGUGUAGCGGUGAAAUGCGUGGAUAUCGGGAGGAACACCAGUGGCGAAGGCGGCCUCCUGGGCUGUUCCUGACGCUGAAGGCGAAAGCUAGGGGAGCGAACGGGAUUAGAAACCCGGUAGUCCUAGCCGUAAACGAUGGAUGCUAGGUGUGGACGGGUAUAGAAUCCCUCCGUGCCGAAGCUAACGCGUUAAGCAUCCCGCCUGGGGACUACGGCCGCAAGGCUAAAACUCAAACGAAUUGACGGGGGCCCGCACAAGCAGCGGAGCGUGUGGUUUAAUUCGAUGCUACACGAAGAACCUUACCUGGGCUUGACAUGCAAGUGGUAGUGAAGUGAAAGCGGAACGACCCUUCGGGGAGCUUGCACAGGUGCUGCAUGGCUGUCGUCAGCUCGUGCCGUGAGGUGUCGGGUUAAGUCCCGUAACGAGCGCAACCCUUGCCCUUAGUUAUACGUGUCUAAGGGGACUGCCCGGGACAACUGGGAGGAAGGUGGGGAUGACGUCAAGUCAGCAUGGCCUUUAUGUCCAGGGCUACACACACGCUACAAUGGCCGGUACAAUGGGUCGCCAAGCCGUGAGGCGGAGCCAAUCCUCCAAAGCCGGUCUCAGUUCGGAUUGUGGGCUGCAACUCGCCCACAUGAAG